GUGAAUCAUCAAAUCUUUGAACGCAUAUUGCACUCUCUGGUAUUCCGGAGAGGAUGCCUAUUUGAGGUUCAUUUCAAAUAAUAUAACUUCCAACAUUUCUCGUAAUUUAAGAUGGAUUGUCCAUUUGUUGUGGUCGCCUAAACUCCAACACAAGCUCAUUUGCUUGGCUUGCGUGAUACUUUCAGUUACCUCAUGACUUAACCAGGAAUCAUCUCGCGUGUUAUUAAUUUUGCAGGAUAUAAAAAUUUCCAUAUAUUUAUCUCAUGCGAAAUAGAAAUCGAAUCAUGACAUCAAAUUCGGG
This 301-nucleotide unclassified non-coding RNA is filed under the name Ambisporaceae sp. Its description in RNAcentral is "partial contains 5.8S ribosomal RNA and internal transcribed spacer 2". The stretch from base 1 to 71 matches the Rfam family "5.8S ribosomal RNA", at positions 84 to 154 of the family's 154-position model. The record is from RNAcentral. Lineage: Eukaryota; Fungi; Glomeromycota; Glomeromycetes; Archaeosporales; Ambisporaceae.